This 323-nucleotide unclassified non-coding RNA is filed under the name soil metagenome. RNAcentral describes it as "partial contains 5.8S ribosomal RNA, internal transcribed spacer 2, and large subunit ribosomal RNA". The stretch from base 1 to 120 matches the Rfam family "5.8S ribosomal RNA", at positions 35 to 154 of the family's 154-position model. The record is from RNAcentral.
GAUGAAGAACGUAGCGAAAUGCGAUAAGUAAUGUGAAUUGCAGAAUUCAGUGAAUCAUCGAAUCUUUGAACGCACAUCGCGCCCUUUGGCAUUCCGAGGGGCAUGCCUGUUCGAGCGUCAUUACACCACUCAAGCCUGGCUUGGUAUUGGGCGACACGGUUUCCGUGUGCCUCGAUUUCACCGGCUGGACGACCCGAUUCUCAGCGUUGUGGCAAUCAAUUCGCUCGGGAGAGGGGAGUCCGCGCCGUUAAACCUUUCUAUUAGGUUGACCUCGGAUCAGGUAGGGAUACCCGCUGAACUUAAGCAUAUCAAUAAGCGGAGGA